Long non-coding RNA from Esox lucius (northern pike), 1814 nucleotides. RefSeq lists it as uncharacterized. The record is from RefSeq and is a predicted model, not a curated record. The transcript is spliced from 3 exons. Lineage: Eukaryota; Metazoa; Chordata; Actinopteri; Esociformes; Esocidae.
UCAAAUGCUUUCAUAACAGUGUCAUGAAUAUUUUUCUCUCACUGAAUCUUCUCCCACUGAGGUGUCACUCACAGAAGCUUCUCCCACUAAACCCAUUGAAGAUGGUGCACUGAGCAACAAGCCAGUUUCACACAGGGAUCAGGUUGCAAUUGCUAUAGAGGUAGCCAAUCUCAGGAGAGAGCGAGAUGCUGCACUGCAGAACUGUUCUAUGGAGCCAUUGUCUGUGAGUGUGGUUUGAGGCAACAAUAGUGCAUGCAUGGCUAUGACUGGGCUCAGCUGGGCAGUGUUUGACUGUCUUCAUCGUUACCUUGUUCAUUUUGUCAAGUCACAAUGUUACGUUUUUAAAAUAUCUACAGAGCAACAGCUUUUCCUCUGUUUGCUCAAGCUACGCCAGAAUCUAUCAAUGGCUUUGCUGAGCCAAAUACUGGACCUACAACAGUCUACCAUCCGCAACAUUUUCCAACGUUGGCUGAAUCUUCUGUAUGCGAAGAUUACCUUCCUCAUUCACUGGUCUGAAAGGAAAUGCAUCAUACAAACCAUGCCACCAAUGAAGGCCACAUUUCCUCAUCUCACGUCAAUUGUUGAUUGCUUUUAAAUCAGAAUUGAACAUUCAAAUGCCCUCAAAGCCAGGUAUACACCAAAGAAAUAUGUAAUUCAUGAUUCCUUGGCAAGGUAGCUUUUGAACACUAACCAUUUUAGUUUUCUUAAUGUUUUCUACAGGGCAAAAAUUUACUCAAGUUACAAUAAGUGGACUACAGUCAAGUAUUUCAUUGCAUGUAGUCCUGCAGGCAACAUCAGCUUCUUGUCCAAAGGAUGGGGUGGAAGAGCAUCUGAUGUUAAAAUAGUGAGGGUAUCUGCCUUCCUUUCACCACUGUACCACCGUCCUGGGGACCAGAUCUUGGCUGAUUGGGGUUUUACCCUUAAAGACGACUUUGCCUUACUUGGUGCCAAUCUCGAAACCCCAGCCUUCACUCGUGGCAGGAAACAACUCCCAGAACAUGUGAUUGGUGUCCUGAAGCUCAGAUUCCACAUCCUGGAUGGGCCACUUCCUAUUCUGUUUGUGAAGUCCCUGCAGGUUGAGAUAGAGAACAGGGAUGUAGCUACCACUGACAAGAUAGUACGUGUGCUGCUUUAAUUAACAUGUCAGGCAGCGUUGUGUUUAACAAGAACAGAAAAGGUGAUGUUUAAAAACAUUUAAAUGUAUAUACAUAUACACUUUUAGAGCAACAGUGUAUAUUGCUGCACACAAUGUGGUUCAUCUAGAAAGCUAAUGGUUCAUCUAGAAAGUCUUUAUUAAACAUCUUAAGUAUUGCUUUCCAAAUAAUUAUUGUAAAUACUCUUCUUGCCGUUCCCUUAAAGAGGCACUAUGUAACUUUCCAUUAAUUUGUCCUGGUAUAGUCCUGAGUUACAUAUUGGGAAAUGUCGAUUUUGCUCUUCUACUAUUUCCUAUAUUUUGUAUUAUUUAAGGUGAUGUUUUCAACCACUAGAUCCAACAUGCUAGUUCCUAGAGUUUACUAGUCCUAAAACCUCGUUUUUGUAUUUGUUUGUAGUUUUCAUAAAAGUUACAUAGUGCAGGUUUAAAUCUUGCUGCCUAAACACCAUUUUACCAUUGUCUACCUUACUGCACUGUUUUCCACCUAGCACUGUCUCAUGGCUCCAACUCAUUCUCCUGUAAAUUAGAAGGAAUCAUUUGAAAUGUAUUGUUGUAGUGACUUUCAUAAUUCAUACAAAUUAAAAUUCUGAGAUCUCAAAUCAAGAAUGUGUGAUUCUGUUUUCUCCACGUGUCUACACAUUUUUGUUUAUUUUACCUGUAG